This 1903-nucleotide long non-coding RNA is filed under the name Salmo salar (Atlantic salmon). RNAcentral describes it as "lncRNA (ENSSSAG00000083829.1)". Lineage: Eukaryota; Metazoa; Chordata; Actinopteri; Salmoniformes; Salmonidae. The record is from RNAcentral.
AAAUCACUCUGGUGACAAACAAACUUUGCUUCCCUGUUUCCAAUUGUCCACAAGGCUGGGUGAACCUAUUCAAGUAAUUAAAUACAUUUCGAAAAUGUAAAAUAAACAAUGUAUUAUUACCUAACUAGCUACAGUGCAGGCUAACUCAAAUGAGCUGCUAAAUGAGCUAGGCUAGCUAGCUAUCUAGCCAACUUCACAUACUGUAUAGAUAGGUAGCUGGUGAUAUUUCAUUAUUAAGGUAGCUAACUUCAUAUUAGCUAGUUAUCUAUAUGUAUUUAUCACUGUAUAAAACAAACUCCAAAUGCAUUUCUAGGUAGCUAGCUAAGAGCCACGGAGAAGGAUGAAAGGAUAAUAGCCCCAACUGUCAAAAUGAGAGAGUAGGCUAUUCUGGAUAGGGCAGGUACUUUUGUGUAAUUCCUAUCCCUAGAAGUAUGGACGGAGAUAAUGGUAACAUACUAACAGUGCAGUGUAAUUUCAGUAUAAUGAAGUCUGUUGUGAGGUUUUCUCUUUAGAUUUAUUUUAUUUAUUUCACCUUUAUUUAACCAGGUAGGCAAGUUGAGAACAAGUUCUCAUUUACAAUUGCGACCUGGCCAAGAUAAAGCAAAGCCGUUCGACAUAUACAACAACACAGAGUUACACAUGGAGUAAAACAAACAUACAGUCAAUAAUACAGUAGAAAAAUAAGUCUAUAUACAAUGUGAGCAAAUGAGGUGAGAUAAGGGAGGUAAAGGCAAAAGGCCAUGGUGGCAAAGUAAAUACAAUAUAGCAAGUAAAACACUGGAAUGGUAGAUUUGUAGUGGAAGAAAGUGCAAAGUAGAAAUAGACAUAAUGGGGUGCAAAGGAGCAAAAUAAAUAAAUACAGUAGGGGAAGAGGUAGUUGUUAGGGCUAAAUUAUAGAUGGGCUAUGUACAGGUGCAGUGAUCUGUGAGCUGCUCUGACAGAUGGUGCUUAAAGCUAGUGAGGGAGAUAAGUGUUUCCAGUUUCAGAGAUUUUUGUAGUUCGUUCCAGUCAUUGGCAGCGGAGAACUGUAAGGAGAGACGGCCAAAGGAGGAAUUGGCUUUUGGGGGGACCAGAGAGAUAUACCUGCUGGAGCGCGUGCUACAGGUGGGUGCUCGCGUGCUAUAGGUGGGUGCUGCUGUAACAGUGUAGGUUCCAUCCCUCUCUUCGCCCCAACCUGGGCUCGAACCAGGGACCCUUGCACACAUCAACAACUGACACCCCACGAAGCAUCGUUACCCAUCGCGCCACAAAAGCCGCGGCCCUUGCAACGCAAGGGGCAACCCUACUUCAAGUCUCAGAGCGGGUGACGUCACCGAUUGAAACGCUAUUAGCGCGCACCACCGCUAACUAACUAGCCAUUUCACAUCGGUUACACUGCUAUGGUGACCAGUGAGCUGAGAUAAGGGGGGACUUUACCUAGCAGGGUCUUGUAGAUGACCUGGAGCCAGUGGGUUUGGCGACGAGUAUGAAGCGAGGGCCAGCCAACGAGAGUAUACAGGUUGCAGUGGUGGGUAGUAUAUGGGGCUUUGGUGACAAAACGGAUGGCACUGUGAUAGACUGCAUCCAGUUUAUUGAGUAGGGUAUUGGAGGCUAUUUUGUAAAUGACAUCGCCGAAGUCGAGGAUCGGUAGGAUGGUCAGUUUUACGAGGGUAUGUUUGGCAGCAUGAGUGAAGGAUGCUUUGUUGCGAAAUAGGAAGCCAAUUUUAGAUUUAACUUUGGAUUGGAGAUGUUUGAUGUGAGUCUGGAAGGAGCUUUACAGUCUAACCAGACACCUAGGUAUUUGUAGUUGUCCACAUAUUCUAAGUAAAAACCGUCCAGAGUAGUGAUACUGGACGGGCGGGCAGGUGCGGGCAGCGAUCGGUUGAAGUGCAUGCAUUUAGUUGUACUUGUAUUUUAAGAGCAG